GCUAACUACGUGCCAGGAGCCGCGGUAAUACGUAGGGUGCAAGCGUUGUCCGGAAUUAUUGGGCGUAAAGAGCUCGUAGGCGGUUUGUCACGUCUGCUGUGAAAACGCGAGGCUCAACCUCGCGCCUGCAGUGGGUACGGGCAGACUAGAGUGUGGUAGGGGAGACUGGAAUUCCUGGUGUAGCGGUGGAAUGCGCAGAUAUCAGGAGGAACACCGAUGGCGAAGGCAGGUCUCUGGGCCACUACUGACGCUGAGGAGCGAAAGCAUGGGGAGCGAACAGGAUUAGAUACCCCGGUAGUC
This 300-nucleotide ribosomal RNA is filed under the name uncultured Ruania sp. RNAcentral describes it as "bacterial SSU rRNA". It matches the Rfam family "Bacterial small subunit ribosomal RNA", at positions 496 to 795 of the family's 1533-position model. The record is from RNAcentral. Lineage: Bacteria; Bacillati; Actinomycetota; Actinomycetes; Micrococcales; Ruaniaceae.